UGCAAGUCGAGCGGCAGCGCGGGGGCAACCUUGGCGGCGAGCGGCGAACGGGUGAGUAAUGUAUCGGAACGUACCCAGUCGUGGGGGAUAACUAUCCGAAAGGAUAGCUAAUACCGCAUACGUCCUGAGGGAGAAAGCGGGGGACCGAAAGGCCUCGCGCGAUUGGAGCGGCCGAUAUCGGAUUAGCUAGUUGGUGAGGUAAAGGCUCACCAAGGCGACGAUCCGUAGCUGGUCUGAGAGGACGACCAGCCACACUGGAACUGAGACACGGUCCAGACUCCUACGGGAGGCAGCAGUGGGGAAUUUUGGACAAUGGGGGCAACCCUGAUCCAGCCAUUCCGCGUGAGUGAAGAAGGCCUUCGGGUUGUAAAGCUCUUUCGGCAGGAACGAAACGGUGUCCCCUAAUACGGGGCGCUAAUGACGGUACCUGAAGAAGAAGCACCGGCUAACUACGUGCCAGCAGCCGCGGUAAUACGUAGGGUGCGAGCGUUAAUCGGAAUUACUGGGCGUAAAGCGUGCGCAGGCGGUUAUGUAAGACAGGUGUGAAAUCCCCGGGCUUAACCUGGGAAACUGCGCUUGUGACUGCAUAAC
Molecule: ribosomal RNA, 591 nt
Filed under: uncultured bacterium
Lineage: Bacteria
Description: bacterial SSU rRNA
Rfam family: Bacterial small subunit ribosomal RNA
Source: RNAcentral